UACGAAGGGGGCUAGCGUUGCUCGGAAUCACUGGGCGUAAAGCGCACGUAGGCGGAUCUUUAAGUCAGGGGUGAAAUCCUGGAGCUCAACUCCAGAACUGCCUUUGAUACUGGGGAUCUCGAGUCCGGAAGAGGUAAGUGGAACUCCGAGUGUAGAGGUGAAAUUCGUAGAUAUUCGGAAGAACACCAGUGGCGAAGGCGGCUUACUGGUCCGGUACUGACGGCUGAGGUGCGAAAGCGUGGGGAGCAAACAGG
This 254-nucleotide ribosomal RNA is filed under the name uncultured bacterium. Its description in RNAcentral is "partial 16S ribosomal RNA". It matches the Rfam family "Bacterial small subunit ribosomal RNA", at positions 524 to 776 of the family's 1533-position model. The record is from RNAcentral.